AUACAAGAAGUCUAAUGAAAGUAAAACACAAGUUAUAUCUCUCCAAAAAUGCAGCUUCCCAGUACUUCCAAUAAGCAUCAGUUUCAGCACCUGUACAGAACCAAAAAUAUCUAACCAGCGUCAAUGUUCAAAAUUUGUAAACAAGACUUAAACUUGUUUAAUGGUAUUACCUUAGUCCCUACAUCAGCUGGAUUAAACUGAGUUGCAAUUUUUUCAAGUAAAAUAAGUUCUUUUGAAAC
RNAcentral lists this long non-coding RNA (239 nucleotides) under Olea europaea (common olive). RNAcentral describes it as "long non-coding RNA (OEUR_LNC004524)". Lineage: Eukaryota; Viridiplantae; Streptophyta; Magnoliopsida; Lamiales; Oleaceae. The record is from RNAcentral.